This 508-nucleotide ribosomal RNA is filed under the name uncultured bacterium. RNAcentral's name for it is "partial 16S ribosomal RNA". It matches the Rfam family "Bacterial small subunit ribosomal RNA", at positions 30 to 523 of the family's 1533-position model. The record is from RNAcentral.
AUUGAGCGCUGGCGGCAUGCCUUACACAUGCAAGUCGAACGGCAGCGGGGGAGAAGCUUGCUUUUCCUGCCGGCGAGUGGCGAACGGGUGAGUAAUACAUCGGAACGUGCCCUGUAGUGGGGGAUAACUAGUCGAAAGAUUAGCUAAUACCGCAUACGACCUGAGGGUGAAAGUGGGGGACCGCAAGGCCUCAUGCUAUAGGAGCGGCCGAUGUCUGAUUAGCUAGUUGGUAGGGUAAAGGCCUACCAAGGCGACGAUCAGUAGCUGGUCUGAGAGGACAGUCAGCCACACUGGGACUGAGACACGGCCCAGACUCCUACGGGAGGCAGCAGUGGGGAAUUUUGGACAAUGGGCGAAAGCCUGAUCAAGCAAUGCCGCGUGCAGGAAGAAGGCCUUCGGGUUGUAAACUGCUUUUGUACGGAGCGAAAAGGCUCUCUCUAAUACAGGGGGCUCAUGACGGUACCGUAAGAAUAAGCACCGGCUAACUACGUGCCAGCCGCCGCCGUAA